Molecule: long non-coding RNA, 323 nt
Organism: Sardina pilchardus (European sardine)
Lineage: Eukaryota; Metazoa; Chordata; Actinopteri; Clupeiformes; Clupeidae
Exons: 3
Source: RefSeq, a predicted model, not a curated record
GUUCUCUGUUGAUUCUCAGGCUCUGGUCUGGUUUUCUUAGUACUCAUCAUCAUCAUCAUCAACAUCAUCAUCAUCAUCAUCUUCUGGAGAUGCAGGAGCCACAACACACAGAGCCCUGAUCGUACACCUGAUACUGCUCUGGGAACUACUGCACAGGCAGCAUCAGAUUAUGAGAAUGAUCCAGCAAGUUUAAAUGACCAGACUCGCACCAACAACAAGGCAGACUCAGUCUACCAAUCUCUGAACCCCAACACCAUGCAACAAGAUGCAGUUUACCAACAGCUUGACCUUAACACCAUACAACAAGACACAGUGUACCAACA